RNAcentral lists this small RNA (97 nucleotides) under Necator americanus (New World hookworm). Its description in RNAcentral is "Nematode sRNA ceN72-3_ceN74-2". It matches the Rfam family "Nematode sRNA ceN72-3_ceN74-2". The record is from Rfam by way of RNAcentral. Lineage: Eukaryota; Metazoa; Nematoda; Chromadorea; Rhabditida; Ancylostomatidae.
CAUCGCGGUCCGGAGUCACUGGGUUACCCAUCCUCCACUUGGAAAUCCGUCCGCAAGGGCAGAUCAGCUCUUCCCACUGACACAACUUGACCGCCUU